GAUUAGCCUGCGUCCGAUUAGCUAGUUGGUGGGGUAAAGGCCUACCAAGGCGACGAUCGGUAGCUGGUCUGAGAGGAUGGCCAGCCACACUGGAACUGAGACACGGUCCAGACUCCUACGGGAGGCAGCAGUGGGGAAUAUUGGACAAUGGGGGGAACCCUGAUCCAGCAAUGCCGCGUGUGUGAAGAAGGCCUGAGGGUUGUAAAGCACUUUCAGUGGGGAGGAGGGUUGAUAGGUUAAGAGCUGAUUAACUGGACGUUACCCACAGAAGAAGCACCGGCUAACUCCGUGCCAGCAGCCGCGGUAAUACGGAGGGUGCGAGCGUUAAUCGGAAUUACUGGGCGUAAAGGGUGCGUAGGUGGUUUAUUAAGUUAUCUGUGAAAUCCCCGGGCUCAACCUGGGCAGGUCAGAUAAGACUGGUAGACUGGAGUAUAGGAGAGGGUAGUGGAAUUUCCGGUGUAGCGGUGAAAUGCGUAGAGAUCGGAAGGAACACCAGUGGCGAAGGCGGCUACCUGGCCUAAUACUGACACUGAGGCACGAAAGCGUGGGGAGCAAACAGGAUUAGAUACCCUGGUAGUCCACGCUGUAAACGAUGUCAACUAGCUGUUGG
Molecule: ribosomal RNA, 610 nt
Filed under: uncultured bacterium
Lineage: Bacteria
Description: bacterial SSU rRNA
Rfam family: Bacterial small subunit ribosomal RNA
Source: RNAcentral